RNAcentral lists this ribosomal RNA (484 nucleotides) under uncultured bacterium. RNAcentral's name for it is "partial 16S ribosomal RNA". It matches the Rfam family "Bacterial small subunit ribosomal RNA", at positions 29 to 523 of the family's 1533-position model. The record is from RNAcentral.
AGUGAACGCUGGCGGCGUGCUUAACACAUGCAAGUCGAACGAGAACGGAUUAUAGCUUGCUAUAAUUGUCAGCUAAGUGGCGCACGGGUGAGUAAUGUAUAGGUAAUAUGCCUUUUACUAAGGAAUAACAAAUGGAAACGUUUGCUAAUACCUUAUACUCCUUAUUAACCUAAGUUAAUAAGGGAAAGAUUUAUUGGUAAGAGAUUAGCCUGUAUUGUAUCAGUUAGUUGUUGGGGUAAUGGCUUACCAAGACUAUGACACAUAACUGGUUUGCACGGAUGAUCAGUCAAACGGGAACUGAGACACGGUCCAGACUCCUACGGGAGGCAGCAGUGGGGAAUAUUGCACAAUGGACGAAAGUCUGAUGCAGCAACGCCGCGUGGAGGAUGACACAUUUCGGUGCGUAAACUCCUUUUAUAUGAGAAGAUAAUGACGGUAUUAUAUGAAUAAGCACCGGCUAGCUCCGUGCCAGCCGCCGCAGUAA